Non-coding RNA from Pelobates cultripes (western spadefoot toad), 258 nucleotides. The record is from the annotation of a GenBank genome assembly. NCBI's taxonomy places the organism in Eukaryota, Metazoa, Chordata, Amphibia, Anura, Pelobatidae.
CAUCAGUUGCCGAAAUAAAUCAGUUGAGCAAAUGUCCUUAAUGUUUUGAGGGGUACAACCACCAGGCAUUUCAGUAAGCAACACUCCUGCAGUAGUAGGGAGCUUGGUAACCCUUUCAGUGUCCGUCUCUGGCUGGAAAAUAUGGCUGUCCGCCUCCACAAGGUCAGCAAUAAGUUGUGCCUUAUUUUUGCCAAAAGUUGGUAAAUUCUUUUCUUGGCACAACAAUUCCAAGGCCUCUUUUGAUUGUUUGCGAUAGGC